Molecule: ribosomal RNA, 253 nt
Filed under: uncultured bacterium
Lineage: Bacteria
Description: partial 16S ribosomal RNA
Rfam family: Bacterial small subunit ribosomal RNA
Source: RNAcentral
UACCGAGGGUGCGAGCGUUGUCCGGAAUCACUGGGCGUAAAGGGCGCGUAGGUGGCGGGACAAGCGUGCGGUGAAAGCUCGGGGCUCAACCCCGAGUCGGCCGUGCGAACUGUUUUGCUUGAGCACUGUAGAGGCAGGCGGAAUUCCGGGUGUAGCGGUGGAAUGCGUAGAGAUCCGGAAGAACACCGGUGGCGAAGGCGGCCUGCUGGGCAGUAGCUGACACUGAGGCGCGACAGCGUGGGGAGCAAACAGG